This is a long non-coding RNA of Salvia miltiorrhiza (redroot sage), 1628 nucleotides long. RefSeq lists it as uncharacterized. The record is from RefSeq and is a predicted model, not a curated record. NCBI's taxonomy places the organism in Eukaryota, Viridiplantae, Streptophyta, Magnoliopsida, Lamiales, Lamiaceae. The transcript is spliced from 2 exons.
CAACCAAGAGAUGAAAUCUCGGUUCUUUCUCUCUCAUUUUCACGGCUUCUGUUCCUCAAUUCCUCCACCCAAAUCAGCAGCCUCUCUUCCCAAAUCUCGCCAGCGCCGCUCAAGACCUCUCUCUCUCUCUCGCCCGCUCUACGCGAGCUCCGCCGCGAACGGCUCCGGCGAGAACGACGGCCAGCCGAGGACAUCGCCCCUGAUCUGCCGUCGCCGCUCCGUACUCUGACCAUUCCAGCCGCCGGCGAGGCCAGCGUUGCUCAGAACCCCGACGUCGGUCUGCUCCCUCAUCUCCUCUCUCUCGAUUUACCUCUCAAACUCGACUGAGAGGAGGAGCCCUAGCUUUCCCUGAGAUCGAAUCCUCCGCCGUUUCUGUAAGUCCGGCGACCGCUAGUUGUCGUCCCCCCCUCCAAACUUGGUGUCUCGGCCUCAAAUCCGUGUUCGGGAAGAAGAGAGUGGAAGGGCGAGCCCUAAUCGUCAAAUACCAGGUCGCCGCUGCACCGCGUCUCCAUCAGAAUCUGAUGGCUGGUCGCCGUGGCUCUGUAAAUCCGGCAACUGACUGCCGGUUUCGCUCUCCUCCACGAAUCGCCGCCAUCUCCUUCGCGUUCCUCCGGCGACCAGGGUAAAGUCCGCCUUCGUUGUUCUCCGGGGUCGACGGGGUUCGAUUUGUGCCACGCCACCGCCGCUGCUGCUACUGGAGGCCGGCUUCGCCGUUGCUGUCGCUGUUCCCGGCGAAGGGUGUCGCCUCGCCUACUCCUCGGCGCCGUUAAAUCCCGAUUCAGAGCAGGGCAAUCGGCCCUAUUUCUUAAGCUAAGUUCUCUAGUUUCAUUCUACUAUUGUAUCUUGAUUCAUUUGCUUAUGAUGUGAAAGUUUAAUACGAGGGGUUGUGGUUUUUCCUAAUUCCGUUUAUAAGCCGUGGAAAUUUUGCUACUGUGCUAAAUGAAUAACAGCGUUGUUAUAUGCUCGUCAAUGAGCCCUGUGUUGGAUUAUGAGCUAAGGUGUAUUCUUUCUUUGUUUUGCAUAAACUCAUAUGCUUGUUGUUCUAGAGUGCAGCCUGUUUGUGAAGUUUAUACUUUCUAUUGUACGAAAUAUCUAGGCUAUUUGAUGUAGAUGAACUGUGAUAUGCUAGAUAUGGAUGCAAACUGAGUUGAAUAUUUGGGAUAUCAAAUUACCUUGAGUAUUUUGUGUUGGUAGCUGCUGUUGUUGAUAAUGAAUUCAAUGGAGAAGAAACUCUCGAUACUUGGCAGUUGGCAGCAGGAACUUCAUCUCCCUUUCUGGUGCUUGGUGUAUGAGAGAAGGAAUGAAGUAAGUGGAAAGUUUGGUGGAGAAAAAGGGUGGUGGUGCAGGCUAGUGCGUAGGUCUCAUUUUUGUUAAGUGGAGGUAGUGGUUGAUAAAUAAUUAGAUAGUGGAAGAUGAUUGUCUUAAGCAUGAUCUUCCUCCUAAAGCCAGCAAAUUCGAGAGUUUUAUUUUUUUACCCAAAUGUACUGCGUCACUCUUGCUGCCAGUGGUGAACUUAUAUGCAAAGAUUUCUUCUUGUACUCAGAAAAAAAAAAUCAAUUACUGCAUUGAUUGAUAGUGGUGGUUGAAGUUCUAAUUGUAAAUAAUAAUAAAUCUUUGUGUCUUGGUUA